Molecule: microRNA precursor, 81 nt
Filed under: Musca domestica (house fly)
Lineage: Eukaryota; Metazoa; Arthropoda; Insecta; Diptera; Muscidae
Description: mir-932 microRNA precursor family
Rfam family: mir-932 microRNA precursor family
Source: Rfam by way of RNAcentral
UGAAAUCUUCAAUUCCGUAGUGCAUUGCAGUUUGUUGAACUCCGAAAUUACUGCAAGCAUUGUGGAAAUGAUGAUUUUAUG